RNAcentral lists this ribosomal RNA (467 nucleotides) under uncultured bacterium. Its description in RNAcentral is "partial 16S ribosomal RNA". It matches the Rfam family "Bacterial small subunit ribosomal RNA", at positions 28 to 506 of the family's 1533-position model. The record is from RNAcentral.
GACGAACGCUGGCGGCGUGCUUAACACAUGCAAGUCGAACGGAAAGGCCCUGCUUUUGUGGGGUGCUCGAGUGGCGAACGGGUGAGUAACACGUGAGUAACCUGCCCUUGACUUUGGGAUAACUUCAGGAAACUGGGGCUAAUACCGGAUAGGAGCUCCUGCUGCAUGGUGGGGGUUGGAAAGUUUCGGCGGUUGGGGAUGGACUCGCGGCUUAUCAGCUUGUUGGUGGGGUAGUGGCUUACCAAUGCUUUGACGGGUAGCCGGCCUGAGAGGGUGACCGGCCACAUUGGGACUGAGAUACGGCCCAGACUCCUACGGGAGGCAGCAGUGGGGAAUAUUGCACAAUGGGCGGAAGCCUGAUGCAGCAACGCCGCGUGCGGGAUGACGGCCUUCGGGUUGUAAACCGCUUUCGCCUGUGACGAAGCGUGAGUGACGGUAAUGGGUAAAGAAGCACCGGCUAACUACGU